GUGGGGAAUCUUAGACAAUGGGGGCAACCCUGAUCUAGCCAUACCGCGUGAGUGAUGAAGGCCUUAGGGUUGUAAAGCUCUUUCAGUGGGGAAGAUAAUGACGGUACCCACAGAAGAAGCCCCGGCUAACUCCGUGCCAGCAGCCGCGGUAAUACGGAGGGGGCUAGCGUUGUUCGGAAUUACUGGGCGUAAAGCGCACGUAGGCGGAUCGGAAAGUUGGGGGUGAAAUCCCAGGGCUCAACCCUGGAACUGCCUACAAAACUAUCGGUCUGGAGUCCGAGAGAGCUGAGUGGAAUUCCGAGUGUAGAGGUGAAAUUCGUAGAUAUUCGGAGGAACACCAGUGGCGAAGGCGGCUCACUGGCUCGGUACCGACGCUGAGGUGCGAAAGCGUGGGGAGCAAACAGGAUUAGAAACCCUGGUAGUCC
Molecule: ribosomal RNA, 425 nt
Filed under: uncultured bacterium
Lineage: Bacteria
Description: partial 16S ribosomal RNA
Rfam family: Bacterial small subunit ribosomal RNA
Source: RNAcentral